This 12197-nucleotide long non-coding RNA is filed under the name Musa acuminata (dwarf banana). RNAcentral describes it as "long non-coding RNA (MACU_LNC006098)". Lineage: Eukaryota; Viridiplantae; Streptophyta; Magnoliopsida; Zingiberales; Musaceae. The record is from RNAcentral.
UCCUGGGAAGACUCAUGGGGCACCAGGAGCGGCACAGCGUGGUACAACCGGAGGGUUUCAUUGAUGAUGCAGUUGAGGUAGGGGAGAUUGGGGAUGUCUUCUUCUUCCACCAUCCGCCCUUGGCCGAUCCUGGCAUCGAGCUCGGCCCUCGCCGUGUGCAGGACUUCGGGGUGGAUGAGCAGGAGGCACAUGGCCCAUUCUAUGGUGACGGCCGACGUGUCUGUUCCUGCUGCCAUUAAUUCCUACACAUGAUAGUAGUGUGUGUAUUAUUUACUAUUUAGGAAUUAGUGAAUAGAAAAUAAAUGAUUAUUUACUAAUUCAUAGAACUUAAUUAUUAUUACUAAAAGCAUUAGAGUAGUUUGACAUCACAACUGACUUGUGGCGAGGGAUGUAAUCCCGCUUCUAUUACCGCUCGGCGUCCAUCAGUGCACUUUAGUCGUGAACGGAAGCGAGGCGAGGAACAUAACCGGAAGACUACGAAUAGCGAAGAAACGAGACGUACCACAAUGAGGCCCUUAAUGGUGACGUCGGUGUAAGUUCCCGGAUCGCUUUCCUGAAGAGACAACAUAACGUCGAUCACCGUUGCCCUCCCCUUAUCUCCGUUCCCUACCGCCCCGCCGCCUCUCGGUUGCGGCAACUCUGACGGCGGCGGACGCGAUGACGCUCGAUCAGUUCCCCGAUCAUUCGGACCCGAACCCAGCCGUGUUGGUCCCGAGGCCACGGCUUAAAGUUGUUGACACCAACAGUAGCCACCGACGGUGCAAUGCUGGGAAGACUCAUGGGGUACCAGGAGCGGUCCGGCGGGAUACGGCCGGAGGGUCUCAUUGAUGAUGCAGUUGAGGUAGGGGAGAUUGGGAAUGUCUUCUUCUUCCGCCAUGCGCCCUUGGCCGAUCUUGGCAUCGAGCUCGGCCGUCGCCGCAUGCAGGACUUCAGGGUGGUUGAGCAGGAGGCACAUGGCCCAUCCCAUGGUGACGGCCGACGUGUCUGUUCCUGCUGCCAGUAAUUCCUACACAUGAAAGUAGUGUGUGUCUUAUUUACUAUUUAGGAAUUAGUGAAUACAAAAUAAAUGAUUAUUUACUAAUUCUUAGAACUUAAUUAUUAUUACUAAAAGUACAGAGCUGCUCGACAUCACAACUGACUUGUGGCGAGGGAUGUAAUCCCGCUUCUAUUACCGCUCGGCGUCCAUCAAUGCACUUUAGUCGUGAACGGAAGCGGGGCGAGGAACAUGACCGGAAGACUACGAAUAGUGAAGAAGAGGAAGAGAGGGAUAAGAAGAGAAGAGAGGUGAGGGGAGGGAGAGAGGAGGGGCGUCGGCCAUGGUACGUUGUCCGAGGAUGAAAGGUUUGCGCGAAAUGGUUGCUUAUAAGCCCCAUGGGAUAAUGUCUCCUUGAGUCGACACCAUUAUGGAUCAUCAUCGGUGGGGUUUGACAGAAUUGGAUUCGGACCUCCAUAGGUUAGGAUGUCUCCUAUCCCAGCAGGUAGCGAAGAAUUCAUAAAUGACACGGAUGUGACCAAUAGGAAGAGAGGGAUACGAAGAGAAGAAAGAAGAGGCAGAGAGGAGAACACGUCGGAGGAUGGAAGAUUUGCGUGAAAUGGUUUCUGACAGAGGUUGCUUAAGCACCAUGGGACAAUGCCUCCUUGAGUCAACACCGUUUUCCUUGACAAAGUUGGAUUCACUGAUCCAGUGGACCCCUCAGCAGAAGUUUCAAAAGGCCGUUAGCAGAUGGGCAAUCUUUUUCCCAAACGUUGGAAAGAGACUGUUGCUUACUUUUCAUUGCCCACGCAUCUUGUACGGCUUCGAACAACGUAGGAAUAGGUCGAACAUAGGAAUAGGUGGUUGUCGCAUCCAAGUCUGAGGUGUUGUGUCGAUUCAUGUGUCAUAUCAGUCUUAAUGCUCCAUAUUAACUUUGACAUGACUGUUGACUGUUACCACUGGAGUACACGAGAAUGUGUCCUAUUAGAACAAACCAAAUCUUAUAUAAGAAUUACAUCUUACUUCUCAGAUGUCACAAAAAAAAAAAGUAUCAUUUUAAUAAUUUUAAUUUUAUCCAGAUUAACAAUUUUAAAAAUAUAUCAUUAUUAAAUUUUAUAUUUUAAAUAUAGUAUUUUAAUAAUUAAAAAUAUAAACAAAUAAAAAAGGAAUAUUCUACAACAAAAAUAUAAAAUUUUAACAUAAUAAUUCCAACGCUGAAGGAUUUAAUUUGUCUCGCCAAAAAAUAAAAUCAGUUUGAAUGUAAUUGGAGAGAGCCUCUAUCAUUUGAUAUGGUGCUCCUUGUGUUAGCAACGAUCGAUCGGAUGAGACAAAAGUGAUUUUAAGAAAAGCUAUAGAAUAUGAACACAUGUCCUCCCCCAACAACAUCAAAAGAACACAUUAUCCCAUUAAUGUCGACUCGAGGUUUGCAUACGUCAUCUUGUUAGCCAUAUGCCAAUAUGCCUCCUUUGUUCUUUUAAGACCUUUGAGAUUGCCUUCGGUACUGUCCUAUGGUCGGCCACACCAUUUUUUUCGAAUGAUGGACGGUGCAAAGGAGAGAAGGUGUGCUGCAUUGGCGCUCACGGAUGCACCAAUGAUAAAUAUUUUAAAUAUAAAAAUCAUGUUAAAUAAGGGAUAAGUGAUAUGUAAUUAAAGGGAAUAGAGUACGGCGUUCUUUGAUGGAUUGGUCGCAAUGGAUGUAACGAGACACUCGAAUAGGAUGACACAAUGCGCCAACAUCGGUUUUAGAUUUAUAUGGAUUAUGAUAAUACAAGAGAUGGACAUACCUAUCUCAGCGUGUAAAUUAUUCAUUAGGCGACAAACACAGGGAAGACGCCAACCGACACGAGCGAAGGGGACGAUAACUACUAAAGCACAGGUAUCAGACAACGAACCCACAAGCAGCUUUUUAACCGGAGGAACGUACGUAUUAGCCACACUGUAUGCCAACUCUCAGAGCUGUGAAAGAGCAUGAAGCAUGGUGUGGCGUGGCGUGCACACGACUUCCAAUGGCUUUGCCUUGGGCAUGGUUAGCCCCGGCCCCUCGGUCAUGUCCACCUCCUCCCCCGGAAGCUUCUCCCACUCGAAACAGUGGAUCAAGGUCGCGAGUGCCAGGCCGAUCAGUCGCAUGGCGAGGCCUUCCCCGGGGCACUUGCGCCGCCCGGACCCGAACGGAAGCAUCCUAAGCCCUGCCUCCUUCCCUCCCUCACACUGGAACCUCUCCGGCUUGAACUCCUCAGGCUCGUCCCAUGUGUUAGGGUCCCUGUGGAUAGCCCACGCGUUCGCCAAAAGCAUCGUGCCGCGAGGCACGUCGUAGCCACCGACGGUGCAGUGCUGGGAAGACUCAUGGGGCACCAGGAGCGGCACAGCGGGGUACAGCCGGAGGGUCUCAUUGAUGAUGCAGUUGAGAUAGGGGAGGUUUGGGAUGUCUUUUUCUUCCGCCAUGCGCCCUUGGCCGAUCUUGGCAUCGAGUUCAGCCCUCGCCGCGUGCAGGACUUCGGGGUGGAUGAGCAGGAGGCACAUGGCCCAUUCCAUGGUGGAGGCCGUCGUGUCUGUUGCUGCUCCCAGUAAUUCCUAUACAUGAAAAGUAGUGUGUGCAUUAUUUACUAUUUAAGAAUUAGUGAAUAGAAAAUAAAUGAUUAUUUACUAAUUCUUAGAACUUAAUUAUUAUUACUGAAAGCAUGGAUCAGCUUGACAUCAUAACCGACUUGCGGCGACGGAUGUAAUCUCGCUUCUAUUACCUCUCGGCGUCCAUCAGUGCACUUUGUCGCGAAUUUAAGCGGGGAGACUAACAUAACCGAAAAUUACGAAUAGCGAAGAAACGAGACGUACCGCACUGAGGGCCUUAAUGGUGACGUCGGUGUAAGUUUCCGGAUCGCUCUCCUGUAGGGACAACAUAACCUCGAUCAUCGUUGGUCUCUCCUUAUCUCCGUUGCUGCCACUCCGACGCCGGCGGGCACGAUGACGCUCGAUCAGUUGUCCGAUUAGUGCGUCUCUCUUCUGCACGAGCCUCGCGAGUUUCCUCUCCGGCCCGCGCCACCCCAGCCUCUGCAGCACCGGAAAGAAGUCCGCCACGUUUGCCGCCCCGCUCACCGCAGACGUCUCCUCCACUAUCUCCCGGAAACGAUGCCUGUCCUCCGCGGACUCCUCGAGGGCCGUGGCCACCAACCCCAUCAUCACGUCGUACACCAGAUUGAAUAACCUCGACUUCAUCUCGACCCGCCGCGGACCGUUCGGCUCAGAAUCUCCGGGCUCGAGGAAGAGGGACUUAGCCAGCGACCGGACCACGCGGGUCCGUGAGUCGGAGGACGAGCGAAGGGCGGCCGAGGAUAAGAGGUGAACGGCGUAGAUGCGUCGGAGGUCACGCCAGUGGGGGCCGUGGGGCGUCCAGCCCAUGGUGGUGCAGACGAAGCCUAAGAUCUGAGGGGCGAGGAGGUUGGGGCGAUUGGCGAAGGCGACGUCGUGAGCAGUGAAGCACUCUUCCGCGGCGGGAGCGGAGGAGACGAGGAGAACAGGGCGGGAUCCGAGGCGGAGGAGUACGACGGGGCCGCGGGCGGUGGCGAUGGCAGCCAAGGCGCGAUGAGGCGGGAGCUUGGCGAUGAGGUGGAGGUGGCCGAUGAUGGGGAACGAAGGGGGGCUCGGCGGGAGAUUUUUGCGAACACUCUUGGUCCAUCGCCAUGCCAGGGAUGCGAACAAGACGAAGAGAGGGAUAAGAAGAGAAGAGAGGAGAGGGAGAGAGGAGGAGGCGUCGGCCAUGGUUUGUUGUCCGAGGAUGAAAGGUUUGCGCGUAAUGGUUGCUUAUAAGCCCCAUGGGAUAAUGUCUCCUUGAGUCGACACUAUUAUGGAUCAUCAUCGGUGGGGUUUGACAGAAUUGGGUUCGGACCUCCAUAGGUUUGGAUGUCUCCUAUAAAUGAUACGGAUGUGACCAAGAGGAAGAGAGGGAUACGAAGAGAAGAGAGGAGAGGCAGAGAGGAGAACACGUCCGAGGAUGGAAGGUUUGCGUGAAAUGGUUUCCGACAGAGGUUGCUGAAGUGUCAUGGGACAAUGCCUCCUUGAGUCAAACACCGGUAUCGAUCAAUCAUCAUCAACGAGUGACUUGUCCCAAACGUUGGAAAGAGACUGUUGCCCGAAUGCCUACGUUUGCAGAUGGGCAAUCUUUUUUGAGAGAAGUUUCAAAAGAUUGUUUAUUUACUAUUGACUUUGGAUCCUCCAUAUACGAUUACCGCUUACGUUUAGUCCCUCAUUAAACAAAUAAAAUCUUAUAUGUUACAUCUUAAUUCUCAGAUAUCACCAAAAGAAAUGUAUCAUUUUAAUAAUUUUAAUUUUAUCCUGAUUAAAAAUUUUAAAAAUAUAUCACUACAAAAUCUUAAAAGUUUUACAUUUUAAAUGUAGCAUCUAAAUAAUUAUAAAGGCAAACAAAUAAAAAAGGAAUACUCUAUUACGAAAAUAUAAAAUUGAAACCGACUAAUUCUAACGUUUAAGGAUUUAAUUUGAUACGGUCCAGCAACGAUAGACCGGCUAAGACAACAAAUGAUGAUAGGAAAAACUAUAACACAAGAAAAUUACUCUCAAACUCAGAGUUGAUAACAAAUAUAUUCUCAAAAUAUUAUUUUUUUUGGGAAAAGAGAUACAUAAAAGUAUUAUUUGCAAAUAUACCCUCAAAAUUGUCUAACCAGAAAGCUUGGCUUAGAUAUCCUCAAAAAGGAUGUAAAGCUGCAACAAUUCCAAGAAGCUACAUUAGAUAUAUACAUAGAGUUAGCAAAUUGUCACCCCAUGGCUAAUUAUCAAUACAGUUCAAAUUAACAUUAGGUAUCGAUUGCAGCUGAAGCACAAACAACUUCUGAUGCCCAGUAUAACUUCCAGUUGCCAAGAGUCUUAGAUAAAAUAGUCAUCACCAUUACUAAACCUAUCAAAAAUCGGUGUUGUAUAUUUCAAGAUUUAUCAAAAGAAAAGGAAAUUAUUACCCACAGAACAUGCUCAGCAUGCAUGGAAAAUGUUAUCAUCCGAGAAGAAUACAGUAUCAUUGAAUCAAGUUCAUGAAGAAGAUUUGGUUGCUAGAAUAGGCUGAACUGCAGCUUUGAAGUCCUCCAAGAAUUUCUGCUCUGAAAACCUUUGAGCGUGCUUUCUAGCAACUGCAGCUAUUGCUAGUCUCUCUGCCUCUGCCAUCUUAAUCACUUUGAGGAUAGCUUCAGUAUAUUCCACUUUGUUUGAUGCUAGAAAUCCUGUUUUACGUCCACAUUCAUUCAAAAUUAUGUCCAUCUUGGGACCUGCUGAAUUAUGAGCUGAUGGGAAGAAAAGUAUUGUCAGUGGAUAGCAUGCUUAGCUUUCGGAUAAACAGUGAUUAAUCACACCAGAUUAAUCACUGUUUGUCCACAUGGGAUGGGAGUCCACAUGCACUAACCAAUUGGUACCACACCAGAUGCCAUGUACUCUACGACACUAAUUCCAAAAUGUUCUCAAUCAUGGAGUGAAGCCCGGCAACAGCACCUCCCAGAAGUUAGACCAAGUCCCUGUUACGGUGAACAAUUCAAAAAGAGCUGACGUAAACAUGGCAAACAAUAGAAGAAACUGUAUAUCAUUUAUGCAUUGGAGGCAGUAGAGUUUUAGAUGAUGUAGUGAAGAUUCCUCUCAAGUCUCAAGAACUACUAAACAUAAAGUUCAGGCACAAGACGACAUCCAAAAUUGCAUGUUCUGCGAAUAGUAUGUCAAGGUUUGAGCUCCGAUGCAUAGCCACGAUUAGAUUGAUCUAAAACUUUCUUGUUCCCUCUCUCAGAAGACCUUUGAUAUUCCCUCGAGUCUGAAGGUAUCCAAUAACUUGUUAUCCUUUGGACACUAUAUUCAGUCGUGCAUUAAUGGGUCAGUCGUAGUUUACAGGAGACGGUCAAACUAGUUGAAAGAAUGGUAUUGCUCAGAACAGUUCUAGAUCGAUUCCACUGGAACUUCAAAUUGACCACUGGUCAAAGUUCUGACACGGCAGACAAAUGAGUAGACCAUUAAUGGGAGUUCCAUCCAUGCUAAUGGUGGAGUAAAAAUCUGUCGGCGUUCAUCUCCACCUGCAAACUAUGGAACUGACUUCUGGUUUCCAUAAGGGUAGAAAAGAAAUAUCCAAAAAAACCAUACAUGUUCAGCUUUGUUUUAGUAAAUAACCCUGGGCCUUCUAGAAUGAAAAGAGCCGAAGAAGGAACAUAUGGAAUGUUGAAGUCCUUAUCCUCCUGCACAUCUCCAGCCUCAAGCUACUCAUUAUGCUCUUUCUGGAUAUGCUUCGAUUAGUCAAUAACAUAAAAGGGUAGCACAAAACCAAACAGUAUAUAAAGGAUAACGGAGUCCUUAUAUGGGAAAUUCUACUUGCUACACCUAAACUCAAACAUAGAUGUCACUAACUCUGUUUUGAUCCACCAAAAUUUAAGAAAAAACCAGAGAAUAUUGUUAGUUGUGUACAGUGAAAACAAAUCUAGAGACAAAAAAGGGAAUCCAAAACAAAAAAUAUACUAGCAGCUAGGAAUUUUCAAGUUGAAAGAAAACUAGUGCUGCAGAUUGAACCUAUUAGCAGCAUCCCUGCGGAACUCCUCAAAAUUAUCCAAAUUUAGUUCCCUGCGUCUCUCUUUGAGCUUCUGCAAUCUUUCUUCAUCCUGCUUAUUCCGACAACUACCCACAAAUUGGAGCUUUGGCCUAGGCAUGUCCUGAUCUAGUAUUCCAACAGAUUGUGCAAACGCUUCCAGUUGAAGGCUAUGAGCCUUGAUGAGAAUCAAGUGUCACAGUUAAUAUUGUGAUAUCAACUAACCAUAUGCCCACAUGAUGAGGGCAUUCACAGACAUCACCUUCUCUGGGCGAAACUGGGCAACUGAUAUAAUCACAGGACUCCUAACUGGCUUUCCCAGAGGAAGCAUCCGCUUGGACAUUCAGUACUUUCUUUCAUCAAUGAUGGUUUAAUAAAUCUCUAGCAGUGAAUAAUUAAAUGGAGCCAGAUGAUAAAAUAGGAUGUUUUGAAAUGUCCAACUCGCUAAGUCUUUUAAACAAUUGCAGGUAAUAAGACACAUUUAGCUAAACCGUGAAACUUAGCUCUCUAAAGUUGGUUUUGUAAAGAAACAGGACAUCAAAAUUAAAUAUAAUUGGCUUGGAAAUUUGUCAUGCAUUCUAAAAUUGUUAAGCAACAGUCAGGUAUAAGCCAGGCUGCCAAUUUACAAGAAUUAUAUAUAUACCUGAAGGGAUGAAGUAUCACAGGGAGGGUACACUCUCUUAGUGAGUGGAGGAAUCUUCCACAGACAAUCUAUAUGUGACUUGGCCCAUGAGGAGUUUACCAUUGCAAGAUGUGCACAGGAUCCCACCGAGCCAUACAACCAACUAAAUAUUGUAUAGUACACCACUUUGCACCUGGAUAGCAGAAUGCAGCCUCACAAGUAAAGAAGACAUAAGAUGAUUAGCACCACACGUCAAAGAAAAAAAGACUUCUUCUUAGUCCAAACAAGACUAGAUUGCCUAUACCUCGACUGCCAAAUCCAUACAAUUUAAUGCUUAUUUAUUUCUUUGAAGUCAGAGUAUCAGUAUUCUGACCUCGUCUACAGGAGUGAAGAACAAUAAGAAGCAGUGUUCAUCGCUUAAAAUCUUUACAUAGCAAUUGGUUGCAAACAAAUCAUGACAUACAUACAAUACAGAAUAAGCACUAGGAAAAAGCAGGACAUGGAGCAAAAGGAAUGACCAUGUUCUCAUAUGUGUGCUCCAAUCCGUUUAAAAAGCUCUUGUUAUUGUUGAAUAAAUCAAAUGUCACCUCAUCACACAAUUCUAAGAAAAUAUUGCAUAGAUUAAAUGGAACUUACAAAGAAAGUUGCAUCCAGAGGUGAAAGCAGACAUGUGGCCAUUUAACAAUAAAAAUUUAACAAACAUGACCUUUAAGCAACAUUACCAGGAGUCAUUUCUUGUGAAACAGAUUGUAGAGUGAUACUCAAUUGCAAAAACAACAUAAGUUUACAAUUAGCGUAGGACACCAACUAAGCAACUAUUUUUAGAACCUAGCUUAUGAACAUGAUCAAGAACAAAGGUCUAAGCUGUACCAGUUCUUAUAAACAGAUUGCAAAUGAUAAAGAUUCCAAAAAUCAUGAAAGCAACUAUUUCUGCAGUCAACUGAAGAUACUAUAUCUGCAAAUACCUCAUAGCAAUUAGAGCAUCAUUAUUGUACAUUGAGCUGCGCUGGAGUACACGAGAAAAACCAUAUCCGAGCUGGUGGUCGUAUAGUAAGUAUAGCAAAUAACUUUGCACCCAAAAAUCCGAGCAAGCAGGUAGGUAAAAGCAUAUAACCACUAGUAUCAAAAUAGAAUUGAGGGGUGAAUUUGCACAGAGCCUUCCACGAAAAAUACACUGAACCAAGACUUUAUCCAAUCAUAGUAAAAUGAGGAUAUGUGUGCUCUUCAAUGCAUUUCCACCUGUACAAGUGAAUGACCUAACAGUGCAUGUUGGCACGUAAACUAUGGGAUCAUUUAACCAAAACUGAAGUGCCAGAAAAGGAUGAACUUGUUUAUAGCAAAAAAAAUACAAAAGAACAAUAGGUAUUGAUGAUGGACUCUUCUUUCUUAUCAAAUUAAAAACCUAAAAUAUUAAACACUCUUCGUUGUUUUGUUUCAUAGACCGAAGGUAAUGGUGGUAAGCAACAAAACAUCCUAACAUCCUCACCAAUUUCAUAAUGUAAAUGACUAGUAAAGACGGCGUAGCCGAGAUCGGGGUUCUCUUCCUGCACGGCUCUCAGGGCGCACCACAGGACCCUCUCCCCGCGACCGCCGUCGUUGGUGUAAGAAUGGAAGAACCCCACCGCCCUCCGCCCUCCGCCUCCCCCGCCGCCCCGAGAUCACGGCCGCGACAGCGGAGAAGAGUACCAGGGAUAGAAGGGAAGAAAGCAAGGUGGUCGACAACAAGACCCAGACCGCCAUGGAUCGCGCUCCGACUCCUCGCGGCCCACCGGAUUUGGGUCUCGGCGGGCGAGCUAUGGGGUCUUGUUUAUAAGAAAAGAAACCAUCCGUGCUUGGUACAACGGAUGGCCGAUACACCACCCACCCACACUGUGAUUGGAUGCAGCUAGCGAACCCACAAGUGGGCCACCUCAGAGUGGCUCAAAUCAGCGCGACGGCUGGACCCUGAAGAAUUUACGGUCGAUUGCGCCUUGGUCUUAUUCGACGCUAAUCCUCCAUAUUAGUCUCCGAUCGUGCAACGAGGAAGAAGGGAAUCGGAGAGGACGUAGUUGGGGCCGCAAUGGUGGGAAGUGGCGGUGGAAAGGGGGAAAGAUAAAGAGUUUCAUGGUUCCACGACAGGGAAAAGAAAAAGCACUAAUUACAUAUUAUCUCCGUACUUAUGUUCUUUAAUUUAAUAAUUUUUAUAUUUUAAAAUUUUAUAUUAUGAUUCUCAUAAUUAUGAAAUUAAAAUAAAUUAUUAUUUUUUAAUAUCAAGUAUAGCAUUGAAGCAUGAGACAUCAUCAUCAUUUUAAUCAUAUUAUUCAAGAUAAUAUAAUAUCUUAUUCCUAAUGAUUUUCAAUUCUUGAGUCACAUAUCUUUAUCUAUUGAAUUCGUAUAUCCCUUAAAAUCGUGCAUAUAAGAGAGAUGUGUUUUAUCUAGGGAGUUCGUAUAUCCCUUAAAUCCUACAGAUCUGUGGAAGAUAAUAAAAGAGGUCAAUUGUCAUCCUCUUUAGUGAUGAUUCACAUGGCAAGAGCUGCGAAGACAUACCUCAAAUCACUAUCCAAAUCUUUACACGCCCUAAAUAAGGGUUAUUCGCUUAGAAGGAGAAUAAGAUAGGAGAAUAGAAGGUAACAUCCAAAACAAACCUAACCUAUAACUCUUUGGUUCUCUCGUAUUACGAUUGAAAUUACGUUAUUAUUCAUCGAUUUUAUGCCAAUCGAACAUAUGAUAUUACAUAUCGGGUCUUACAUAUGUGCAGUUGACAAUGUUAGAAAAUUAAAAUAAAUUAUUUAUUUUUAUAAUUAUAAAAACCUUAAUAUAAUUUUUUUAAUAAAUUUUUUAAGUAUAAAAAUUAUCAUACCCUAAUACAUAGGGUAAGUAAUACGUAAUUAGUUCAAUCAUCAAAGGGAAUAGAGUACGGCGGUUUUUGAUGGAUUGGUCUUAAUGGAUGCAACAGGACACUGAAAUAGUAUGACAUAAUGCGCUAACCUCGUUUUUAGAUUUAUACGGAGGACGACAAUACAAGAGACGGUCAUACCUAUCUGAGCAUGUAAAUUAUUAAUUAGGCCACAAACACAGGUAAGACGCCAACCAACAAGAACAAAAGCGUCCAUAACGACAUAAGCACACGCAUCAGACAACGAACCCUAUAGCAGCUUUUUAACCGGAGGAACGAACGUAUAUGCCAUACUGUAUGCCAACUCUCAGAGCUGUGAAAGGGCAUCAAGCAUGGUUUGGCGUGGCAUGCACAUGACUUCCAAUGGCUUUGCCUUGGGGAUGGUUAGCCCGGACCCUUCGGUCAUGUCCACCUCCUCCCCCGGAAGCUUCUCCCACUCGAAACAGUGGAUCAAGGUCGCGAGUGCCAGGCCGAUCACUCGCAUGGCGAGGCCUUCCCCGGGGCACUUGCGCCGCCCGGACCCGAACGGAAGCAUCCUAAGCCCUGUCUCCUCCUUCCCUCCCUCGCACUGGAACCUCUCCGGCUUGAACUCCUCGGGUUCAUCCCAUGUGUUAGGGUCCCUGUGGAUGGCCCACGCGUUCGUCAAAAGCAUCGUGCCGCAAGGCACGUCGUAGCCUCCGACGGUGCAGUCCUGGGAAGACUCAUGGGGCAGCAGGAGUGGCCCGGCGGGGUACAGCCGGAGGGUCUCAUUGAUGAUGCAGUUGAGGUAGGGGAGAUCGGGGAUGUCUUCUUCUUCCGCCAUGCGCCCUUGGCCGAUCUUGGCAUCGAGCUCGGCCCUCGCCGCGUGCAGGACUUCAGGGUGGUUGAGCAGGAGGCACAUGGCCCAUUCCAUGGUGACGGCCGUCGUGCCUAUUCCUCCUCCCAAUAAUUCCUGCACAUGAAAGUAGUGUGUGUGUGUGUGUAUUAUUUACUAUUUAGGAAUUAGUAAAUACAAAAUAAAUGAUUAUUUACUAAUUCUUAGAACUUAAUUAUUAUUACUAAAGCAUUAGAGUAGUUUGACAUCACAACUGACUUGUGUGGCGAGGGAUGUAAUCCCGCUUCUAUUACCGCUCGGCGUCCAUCAGUGCACUUUAGUCGUGAACGGAAGCGAGGCGACGAACGUAACCGGAAGACU